Long non-coding RNA from Mobula hypostoma (lesser devil ray), 887 nucleotides. RefSeq lists it as uncharacterized. The transcript is spliced from 3 exons. The record is from RefSeq and is a predicted model, not a curated record. Lineage: Eukaryota; Metazoa; Chordata; Chondrichthyes; Myliobatiformes; Myliobatidae.
GAGAAAGUCUGCAGAUGCUGGAAGUUCAGAGCAACACACACAAGAUGCUGGAGGGACUCAGCGGGUCAGACAGCACCUACGGGAAAGGGGGGCCCAGAUUCGGUCAAUGAGGCUCGUUAGUGUUGAGACACUACACAAACGUACCUUGUUAUGGUUAAGGUGGAGAUAAAUUCUGUGUCACGGGCAGAGCACCUCUACAACCCACACUCAAAUCUCAUCUCAUUGAUUGGAGCACCUGAUUCCAAGUAGCUUUUGUAGAAGGCUUUACCUCAGAGGUUCACAUACUUUUCCCAAGAAAUACAUGUAAUAUUGGAUCAUUUUUUUAAAUAAAUAAAUGAACAAGUAUGAUUUUUGUGUUAUUUAUUUAAUUGGGUUCUCUUUAUCUAGUUUUAGGACUUAGGUGAAGAUCUGAUCACGUUUUAGAUCAUAUUUAAGCAGAAACAGAGGAUAUUUAUAGGAUUCACAAACUUUCUAGCACCACUGUAGUGACGGAGCCGAGGAGGUGGUAGGUGGAGUUGAAAGGGUUGCAGAUGAUGGAAUUGGAGAGGAGAAGAAGGUGAAUCAUGGAACAAAAUAAGUGAGGUGGGGAGGGAAGAUGGGAAUAGUGGGACAAGGGGAACGAGUGGGUGGAGUAUGUGGGCGAUGGGCAGUUGGAGUGAGUGGAGGAGGGGAAAGAAACAGAGUGAUAUGGGGAGUGGGAUGGGUGUAGGAAGAUCUGGGUAGAUCACAAGGAGAGAGGAAAGAGACAGAGAGGAGUAGGUUACCUGAAACUGAGCAGCUGAAUGUUCCUGCCAUUGGUUUGUAGACUACCCAGGCAGAAUAAAAAAUGUGUGUUCAGCUGUCAUAUUACUGUGUAUCAGCACGGUCUGCUCACUGACGGUCAUAGC